This 383-nucleotide transfer-messenger RNA is filed under the name Mycoplasmopsis glycophila. RNAcentral describes it as "Mycoplasma glycophilum transfer-messenger RNA". It matches the Rfam family "transfer-messenger RNA". From Rfam's summary of the family: Bacterial tmRNA, also known as 10Sa RNA or SsrA, is named for its dual tRNA and mRNA-like properties. Its role is to liberate the mRNA from a stalled ribosome. RNAcentral also lists the same sequence under 1 other name. Lineage: Bacteria; Bacillati; Mycoplasmatota; Mycoplasmoidales; Metamycoplasmataceae. The record is from Rfam by way of RNAcentral.
GGGGAUGUAAUGGUUUCGACAAAUAUAGGCAGUUGAACAUCGCAGUAGUGUGGCAGACUAUAAUUGCUACUAGGCUUUCUUAAACGGAAAAUCUGAAGAAAAAACUGAAUUUGCAUUCAGUAACCCAGCAUUUGCUGGAUCACAAGCCUUUGCAUUCGCUUAAUAACUAGCGGCAAAGCCAUUUCAAACGACUCCUUUAAGUUUGAAAUGAGUCAUAAAGGAUAGUUUUGAGAAUUGAUCGUAAUCAAAACGAAGAAAGAUCAAUUACUAAAUAAUAUUUUUGUUUAUUUUAUAUUUUAGUAAUUAAUAAAAAUAAACUAAACUGUAGAAGUGCGAUACUUGUUUAUGUUUGGACACGGGUUCGACUCCCGUCAUCUCCACCA